GAUGAACGCUGGCGGCGUGCCUAAUACAUGCAAGUCGAGCGAACAGAUGAGGAGCUUGCUCCUCUGAAGUUAGCGGCGGACGGGUGAGUAACACGUGGAUAACCUACCUAUAAGACUGGGAUAACUUCGGGAAACCGGAGCUAAUACCGGAUAAUAUAUUGAACCGCAUGGUUCAAUAGUGAAAGACGGUUUUGCUGUCACUUAUAGAUGGAUCCGCGCCGCAUUAGCUAGUUGGUAAGGUAACGGCUUACCAAGGCAACGAUGCGUAGCCGACCUGAGAGGGUGAUCAGCCACACUGGAACUGAGACACGGUCCAGACUCCUACGGGAGGCAGCAGUAGGGAAUCUUCCGCAAUGGGCGAAAGCCUGACGGAGCAACGCCGCGUGAGUGAUGAAGGUCUUCGGAUCGUAAAACUCUGUUAUUAGGGAAGAACAAAUGUGUAAGUAACUAUGCACGUCUUGACGGUACCUAAUCAGAAAGCCACGGCUAACUACGUG
This 497-nucleotide ribosomal RNA is filed under the name uncultured bacterium. RNAcentral describes it as "partial 16S ribosomal RNA". It matches the Rfam family "Bacterial small subunit ribosomal RNA", at positions 28 to 507 of the family's 1533-position model. The record is from RNAcentral.